AGAGUUUGAUCAUGGCUCAGGAUGAACGCUAGCUACAGGCUUAACACAUGCAAGUCGAGGGGUAGCAGGGUAGCAAUACCGCUGACGACCGGCGCACGGGUGAGUAACACGUAUCCAACCUUCCCAUACUCAGGGAUAGCCUUUCGAAAGAAGAUUAAUACCUGAUAGUACUUUUUCAAGGCAUCUUGAGAAAGUUAAAGAUUUAUUGGUUAUGGAUGGGGAUGCGGUUCCAUUAGAUAGUUGGUGAGGUAACGGCUCACCAAGUCUUCGAUGGAUAGGGGUUCUGAGAGGAAGGUCCCCCACAUUGGUACUGAGACACGGACCAAACUCCUACGGGAGGCAGCAGUGAGGAAUAUUGGUCAAUGGGCGAGAGCCUGAACCAGCCAAGUAGCGUGAAGGAAUGAAGGUCCUAUGGAUUGUAAACUUCUUUUAUAGUAGAAUAAAGUGAUCCACGUGUGGAUUUUGUAUGUAUACUAUGAAUAAGGAUCGGCUAACUCCGUGCCAGCCGCCGC
RNAcentral lists this ribosomal RNA (512 nucleotides) under uncultured bacterium. Its description in RNAcentral is "bacterial SSU rRNA". It matches the Rfam family "Bacterial small subunit ribosomal RNA", at positions 8 to 518 of the family's 1533-position model. The record is from RNAcentral.